Molecule: transfer RNA, 64 nt
Filed under: Cassianeura bimaculata
Lineage: Eukaryota; Metazoa; Arthropoda; Insecta; Hemiptera; Cicadellidae
Description: tRNA-His
Source: RNAcentral
ACUUAAAUAGUUUAAUUUUAAAAAUUGAGAUUUGUGGUAUCUUAGAUGUUUAUAACUUUAAGUU